RNAcentral lists this transfer RNA (73 nucleotides) under Ailuropoda melanoleuca (giant panda). It matches the Rfam family "tRNA". Rfam says of the family: Transfer RNA (tRNA) molecules are approximately 80 nucleotides in length. Their secondary structure includes four short double-helical elements and three loops (D, anti-codon, and T loops). The record is from Rfam by way of RNAcentral. Lineage: Eukaryota; Metazoa; Chordata; Mammalia; Carnivora; Ursidae.
ACCUGGCUGGUUCAGUUGGAAGAGCAUGAGACUCUUGAUCUCAAGGUUGUGAGUUCGAGCCCCAAGCUGGGUG